UACGGAGGGGGCUAGCGUUGUUCGGAAUUACUGGGCGUAAAGCGUGUGCAGACGGAGCAGCAAGUGGGGUAUGAAAUCGCGGUGCUUAACACAGCGAGGUUAUGCCAGACUGCUGGACUAGAGUGCGAGAGAGGGAGAUGGAAUUCCGGGUGUAGUGGUGAAAUGCGUAGAGAUCCGGAGGAACCCCAGAGGCGAAAGCGGUCUCCUGGCUCGCAACUGACGUUCAGACACGACAGCAUGGGGAGCGAACGGG
RNAcentral lists this ribosomal RNA (253 nucleotides) under uncultured bacterium. RNAcentral's name for it is "partial 16S ribosomal RNA". It matches the Rfam family "Bacterial small subunit ribosomal RNA", at positions 524 to 776 of the family's 1533-position model. The record is from RNAcentral.